Long non-coding RNA from Cotesia glomerata, 298 nucleotides. RefSeq lists it as uncharacterized. Lineage: Eukaryota; Metazoa; Arthropoda; Insecta; Hymenoptera; Braconidae. The transcript has 3 exons. The record is from RefSeq and is a predicted model, not a curated record.
UAGUACGUGAGAAAAUGAAAGACGGAAGGAAGAAGUGUAUUUAUAAUAUUGGUACUAUAUUUAUGAUUGAUACGCGUAUCUAUGUAUACGUAGAUACAUAUAUAAGCGCAUAUAUGUAGAUAUACGCAUCUGUACGUGUGUGUAUCAUAUCAAGCAAACGAAGUUAUACAGCUAUGGGCGUGGCUAGUCGAGAGGUAGUUGCGAAUGAGCUGGGACUGAAGAUGAAUUCGACAAACAAUCUAGUUCUAGUUCAGCUUCCAUACCAGAUGAAUCAUAUCCAAGGACUAAUGGAAAGGCA